Molecule: ribosomal RNA, 377 nt
Filed under: uncultured bacterium
Lineage: Bacteria
Description: bacterial SSU rRNA
Rfam family: Bacterial small subunit ribosomal RNA
Source: RNAcentral
AUACGGAGGGUGCAAGCGUUGCUCGGAAUUACUGGGCGUAAAGCGUACGCAGGCGGCCUGAUAAGUCGGAUGUGAAAUCCCCAAGCUCAACUUGGGAACUGCAUCCGAAACUGUCUGGCUUGAGUUCGGGAGAGGGAAGUGGAAUUCCUGGUGUAGAGGUGAAAUUCGUUGAUAUCAGGAGGAACACCGGCGGCGAAAGCGGCUUCCUGGCCCGAUACUGACGCUCAUGUACGAAAGCGUGGGGAGCAAACAGGAUUAGAUACCCUGGUAGUCCACGCCGUAAACGAUGAGUGCUAGGUGUUGGAGGUAUUCACCCCUUCAGUGCCGUAGCUAACGCAUUAAGCACUCCGCCUGGGGAGUACGGCCGCAAGGUUAAA